GAUAUAAUAAAGAAAUAAAGAGAAAUAAUAAAGCAUACCACAAACACAAGGAUUUAUAGUGGUUCGGUGCCAACCUUGCACCUACAUCCACUCCCCAAGCUCCUACUUGGGAAUUCCAAUCCACUAUACUUGUAUUCAAUCCGAAUACAAACGUCAGAAACUCCGACACUAGCUAUCCCAAGCUAGUCCACUUGUUUCCCGGGUACAAACCAACCCAAAAUACUCCGAUUUCAGGUUCGGAUCAACCUUCCCUUGUUUUGGAAACCCUCCAAAAACAAGAACAAUUACUCACAAAGAGUAAGACA
Molecule: long non-coding RNA, 305 nt
Filed under: Elaeis guineensis (African oil palm)
Lineage: Eukaryota; Viridiplantae; Streptophyta; Magnoliopsida; Arecales; Arecaceae
Description: long non-coding RNA (EGUI_LNC069113)
Source: RNAcentral